Nyctereutes procyonoides (raccoon dog) is the source of this 1302-nucleotide long non-coding RNA. RefSeq lists it as uncharacterized. The transcript has 3 exons. NCBI's taxonomy places the organism in Eukaryota, Metazoa, Chordata, Mammalia, Carnivora, Canidae. The record is from RefSeq and is a predicted model, not a curated record.
CCCUGUGGGCCGCCGGGCCGGGCUCGCCCGCACCUCCGGGGCGCUGACUCAGCCGCAGCCGCCCUCCCCGCCCUCCCCGCCCUCCCCGCCGAGCCGGGCCUGCGCUGCGCCCCGCGCCCCAGCCCCACCGCCCGGGACCCGCGAGCGCACGGGACGGCCUCGCCAGCUUGCAGGGGCCUCUAAAUCCUUUUGUGGGUCUCCCGGAGCUUCCCCGGAUUCCAGCCAGAGGAGUACCUGGCUUGGCACCGCAAUGCCGUCUUACUCCUUGAUGUCAAAUCUGUGUCCAGUGGAUGAGGGGGUCUGUGCCUAGCAGCUGGGGGGUUCAAGUCCCCUGUGAGUCCUUCUGCGACCAGAGGCUCCCCUGGAGAGGAAUUGUAGUAACCUGAUGUGUGGUCCUUGCAAACCUCAGAAUAAAGCCAAACACCCAAGGCUGUAGAUGUGACUUACAAAUUGGAGUUGGGUGAAGGUUCCAUUUUCAAGGAUGGCUCAGCAUAAGACCAGCUUUGAGGACCCACUGGGAGGGAAGCUUUGCCAGCAAACAGUUAUUUCUGGAAAACUGCUCUGAAACCAGUAACUUCACAUUUAUCCAAAAGAGAAAUUGAGGGGAAUGGCUGCCUUCUUUGCUGGGUUGUUGUGGGGACUCAUCGGUGACGACGUAUGUGAGCCUAUCACACUGCAGGUGUUUUAUAAAAGAAGCCUUGUGAACCUUCCCUCUCGUGGUCUGCCCUGUGUCACCGUCGACCUCGGAGCUCAGGGGAGACUCCUCUGCAUGUUCUUGAACAUGUCCCUUAAUGGCUGCACGUUUCUGGAGGGGUCCUUGCUGUGCCCCCAAGGUCAAGGACCUUCCAAGCCCUUCCUGGCGGAGCCUCCUCAGGGAACUCCUUUCAAGGGCAAUAUAAAAGGACACUGUCCUCCAUGGGAAGAGAUCAGGUUGGGAUUCCUAAUCCCAAAAUCCCCAGCCCUCCUCCACCUAUGGCCUGAGCAUGUUUCGGCGAGGCCCCGGUGGCACAAAGGGGCUCCUGCAUGAGCAGGCACCCCCAAGUACACCUGCAGUUCAGCCUCAAGCCCCUGUGGUCCUGUCCUUCCUGGGCACAGCCCAGGACUGCUGUUCCCUCUUGCUUGAGUCCAGGCUGAAAGCAGAGCAGGUGCUCCCUGGCCCUCUCCAUCACCAUUCCCGUGGCAAGGAUGGGUACCGAUGGAGGGAGGACACAGCACGUACCCACUUAGACCAGAGCUUCUUCUACUUCCCCACUGAAAACCACCAAUGACCCCCAAAGGAGUGUGCCCCCAACAAAGCCCUCA